ACGUAGGGGGCAAGCGUUAUCCGGAAUUAUUGGGCGUAAAGAGUGCGUAGGUGGUUUUUUAAGCGUGAGGUGAAAGGCAAUAGCUUAACUAUUGUAAGCCUUGCGAACUGGAAGACUUGAGUGCAGGAGAGGGAAGUGGAAUUCCGAGUGUAGCGGUGAAAUGCGUAGAUAUUAGGAGGAACACCGGUGGCGAAGGCGACUGCCUGGAUUGUUACUGACGCUGAGGCACGAAAGCGUGGGGAGCAAACAG
RNAcentral lists this ribosomal RNA (250 nucleotides) under uncultured prokaryote. RNAcentral's name for it is "partial 16S rRNA". It matches the Rfam family "Bacterial small subunit ribosomal RNA", at positions 525 to 775 of the family's 1533-position model. The record is from RNAcentral.